AUUGAACGCUGGCGGCAGGCCUAACACAUGCAAGUCGAGCGGAUGAACGGAGCUUGCUCCUGGAUUCAGCGGCGGACGGGUGAGUAAUGCCUAGGAAUCUGCCUGGUAGUGGGGGAUAACGUCCGGAAACGGGCGCUAAUACCGCAUACGUCCUGAUGGAGAAAGUGGGGGAUCUUCGGACCUCACGCUAUCAGAUGAGCCUAGGUCGGAUUAGCUAGUUGGUGGGGUAAAGGCCUACCAAGGCGACGAUCCGUAACUGGUCUGAGAGGAUGAUCAGUCACACUGGAACUGAGACACGGUCCAGACUCCUACGGGAGGCAGCAGUGGGGAAUAUUGGACAAUGGGCGAAAGCCUGAUCCAGCCAUGCCGCGUGUGUGAAGAAGGUCUUCGGAUUGUAAAGCACUUUAAGUUGGGAGGAAGGGCAGUAAGUUAAUACCUUGCUGUUUUGACGGUACCAACAGAAUAAGCACCGGCUAACUUCGUG
RNAcentral lists this ribosomal RNA (484 nucleotides) under uncultured bacterium. RNAcentral's name for it is "partial 16S ribosomal RNA". It matches the Rfam family "Bacterial small subunit ribosomal RNA", at positions 30 to 507 of the family's 1533-position model. The record is from RNAcentral.